AUUCGACCUGAGCUCAGGCAAGAGCACCCGCUGA
RNAcentral lists this ribosomal RNA (34 nucleotides) under Botryococcus braunii. RNAcentral describes it as "partial 28S ribosomal RNA". Lineage: Eukaryota; Viridiplantae; Chlorophyta; Trebouxiophyceae. The record is from RNAcentral.